This 211-nucleotide non-coding RNA is filed under the name Streptomyces zinciresistens K42. RNAcentral describes it as "Streptomyces RNA 1601". It matches the Rfam family "Streptomyces RNA 1601". Rfam says of the family: Identified by deep sequencing of transcriptome at the end of exponential growth phase. The record is from Rfam by way of RNAcentral. Lineage: Bacteria; Bacillati; Actinomycetota; Actinomycetes; Kitasatosporales; Streptomycetaceae.
GACGACCGGCUGGAGAUGUAUGUGUCCAGCCCACAAGUGGAGGCUCCGAUCUCCCACCCGACCGUCCUGCGGACGGCGGGUCACCCCGGUCAGGCGGCCACCAUCGUUCCGUACGGACGAUGGAGUCGCCCGAAAGCGCGCCCCGCGGUCAUCGCGGCGGUGCUCCGGCAGUGUUGUGGAGCCCCGCCUGUGACCGUCCGGGGCGUUUUUU